RNAcentral lists this ribosomal RNA (253 nucleotides) under uncultured bacterium. RNAcentral describes it as "partial 16S ribosomal RNA". It matches the Rfam family "Bacterial small subunit ribosomal RNA", at positions 524 to 776 of the family's 1533-position model. The record is from RNAcentral.
UACGUAGGGUGCAAGCGUUGUCCGGAAUUAUUGGGCGUAAAGAGCUUGUAGGCGGUUUGUCGCGUCUGCCGUGAAAGCCCAGGGCUUAACCCUGGGUCUGCGGUGGGUACGGGCAGACUAGAGUGUGGUAGGGGAGACUGGAAUUCCUGGUGUAGCGGUGAAAUGCGCAGAUAUCAGGAGGAACACCGAUGGCGAAGGCGGUGGUCUGGGCCGGCACUGACGCUGAGGAGCGAAAGCGUGGGUAGCAAACAGG